Molecule: long non-coding RNA, 5104 nt
Organism: Serinus canaria (Common canary)
Lineage: Eukaryota; Metazoa; Chordata; Aves; Passeriformes; Fringillidae
Exons: 7
Source: RefSeq, a predicted model, not a curated record
UCUUGUAGUUUGAGUAAAAGAUUGUAGCAACUUUAAAGCUUGGAACAACUUUAAAGCUUCACCUUUCAGAAUGCAUGAUAGGAUUGCUGUGUUCUUCCUUAAAAUACUGUGGCAAAGUGAGUUCCUGCUCUGUGUCACUAUGUCUUCAUUUCCUCUUACAUCUCUUCCACUGUUAGAGUAGCCUAUAAAAUCUUUAGUUAUGCACCUUUUACCAUGACUCAAAUAUUCACAAAGUUAAUCAGGGCUGACAACACUUCUGCUUUGUUUCUUCCACUGAAAGGGACCACUACAAGCUAAAGACUACAACCUAAGAGAAGCCAAAGGCUUACAGCUUCAGAGGCCUGGGCUGACCUGCCCUGUGCAGGCUGCAAUGGCUGGGGAUGCCGGUGUGUGUCUAAUGAGAAGUUGCUGCAUGAGCUGUGUGACUGGGAGCCGUGCACGCUCACAUGCUAAAGGUUUUCUCCCGGCCCUGAAUCUGUGAUCCUGUUUGUAGUUCUCUAAUUGCAACCAGCAGAAGACAAGGGUGAUGUUGGUUUUUAUGACUUGUUGCUUAGCAGCGUUGAUCAACAAAAGCACAACCUUUUCUUUUGCUGUGACCUCGGUGAACCCGGGCUUGGACAGAGCUCACCAGCGGGGAACAAGGGUUUCUGAAGCCGUGUGAAACUCCUGUGCUGUGCCUUGUUAGCAGUGUCUGAGGGAAAGCAUCUCUUCUUGACCUCUUUGUUGCCUUUGCCCUUUACUCCUCUUUCUCUCUCUCUCAUCAAAUCUUAGAAGAAAGCAGGCACCGUCCUAGGAAGAUUUGGAGGACGAGAAAUACAGGGAGACGUCAACUACACUAAGAUGUAUCCUGCCUCUUUUCAGGAAAAGGAGCUAAGCUGGUUCCCAGACUGUGAUGUCAGACCCUCCUCUCAUGGAAGGAGAAGGACUUCAGCCAUCACAAGUGUUUGUAACAAACCACCUUGUCUGCAUGCCAAGAGAUUGCCACAGAGAGAAACAAAUUGCUGCUGACGACAGAGGAAAAGAGUCUUCAGAAAGUCCCUUUCAGAAAGCUUGUGAUGAGAUGAUGUGAGGGAUGUGGCAGUCUUACAUUGGAAGCAAGAUAAUUGAUUUUGAGUUUAUGACACUGCACCUGGUUACAAGAAGCAGUCUGCCCUCUGCCAGAGCAGAGCAAGAGGAGAGCAGGUCUGUGCACUUCUGCUGGGGUGGAAGUUCCUACUGGCUUUCAGUGUUUGCACAGUGAAUUCAAUGUCAACAUACACAGACAGCAGAUCUCAGAGGAGUCAGAGGCCCAUUCCCAGAAGAGUAACAAUCCAAAGUUUACACUUCCAGUGAGAUGCUGUCUGAGAAGUGCUGGAAAAAGAAAGGCUGGUCAAAGGCAGGUGUUGUGCCCAUGUGGAAGCCCAACAACUGCAUUCCUGAUGUAUUGCCUGGCAUCUACCUGGAUGGCUUUCUAGGAUAUAUUCCCAAGAGCUCUGCAAGGAGCCCAGCAGCCAGCUACAGUGUGGGCAGGAAGAGAGAGACACACCACAUCUUCUUGAGAGGCACCAUGACUUACCAAUGCUGUGUCAAAGCUUUUCCUUCAGCUAAGGAGUCAGCAGCAGAAGAGGAGCAGUGAAUUCCAACACCCAGCAACAUGUACAAGCUCAUCUUUAAGGAAAUUUCCUUGACUUCAUUUGGUUUACUUCCAAGCAAGAACAAGUGCACCAAACUACUGCUUAAGGAUCUGAUUUGUUUGAAAUGCUUGACUGAGCAGAGUGUGCAGAAGAGGAAUUAUCCCCCUUCAGAACUGACCUGGAAGGUUGCUACAAGCACAGAGCCCACAGAGUGAAGUCCUGGAGCUGUCCUUGGACUAUUUGCUGUAUUUUCUCAUCAGGAGUGAGAGACAGAGCUUUCCUUUUCAAUUUCAAAAUUGAAGAUUAAUAUCAUUGAUAAGAAGAAAAAAGUGAAGACAUUAUCUUCUUGUCUUGUAGAAGAAUCCUUUAUCCCUCCCUCCAAAUCAACUCUAAAUAUAUUUAAGGUGACUAAAAAAAUGAGAGGAAGGAAAACCAAAAGAAACCAGAAUAUAGCCAACCUUUUUAAUUAGAGUAUAUUGUACUUCCAAACUGGAUACACUAGAAAUUGGCAAUGCAACAUAAGAUGCAAAGAAAUAUACCAGUUACUGUCAAAAUGACCCUGUACAGCCUUAUAAUGCAAAAAGCUUUGUACAAUACAAAUUUUUAUUAAUGUACACAAACCUUGACAGAAUGAUAUUUGAACAUAAUACAACAAGUAAAAAAAAAAAAGAAGAAAGAAAAAAGUGCUGAGAACUUUAACUGAAUUACUGAAUGGAAAAACACGCCAGCUUUCAUUAAAGAAUGCAUAGUGAAAACCAGUAUGAAAUUACCUUUAUGGUGGGGGGAAUUUAUCAGAACUGUUGGUCAUUAAUCAGUAAGGGGAACCUCUGGAGAACAUUCUUGUCUUUAGUCUUGAACUGCAAACAAAUUAUUUUAAUAUGCAAGAGUUCUGAUAAAUAGGGUAUUUUUUUUUUCUUAAAAAAAUAAAAACCUCCUAACACACUUUUCCUUACAGAGAAAACUUCUAUAACUUGCCAGAAAGGAUGAAUUUAUCCUUUCCAAAGUGCUAAACAAAUUUCCCAGGUACACUAAACAUUGCCAGGUCAGAUACUGGUGCAGUGGAACAUGGUCAAAACACGUGGUGGUCACAUGCGGGCAGCUUGUUCUUGGAAGCUCCAGCCCCAUUCAAACUGCCCUUUGAUUUAGGUACAGUGGCCUACAAUUGUAACAUUCCUCCUUCUUCUUCCUCCUGGACAGCUGUACCUUACCUGGAGUUGGUGUGAAAAACAAGCUUUUUGAUUGGGGAGUGUUUGGUUUUCUGUGGUGUGGUCAGAGACGCGCGUGUGGAGCGUGUUUUACAGAACUGGUAGAGCUGCUGGGUACAGAUUGCAGAUUUCAUGCUGUCAAGAUAGUAACUAUUUUAUGCUCUGGGUAUUUCCCAACACAGUAUUUUCUUUUUAGUCUGUGCUCCCAGGGAGGUGUGAGCAGGAGCUCUGAUGGAGUAAAGCAUGCUGAGCAGGGCCCUGAGUUAGGUAAGUUGUUUACAGAGGUUUACGUGCAGUUUGGAGCAGCUGGGUUCUCUCUGCUGCAUAGACAGACCUGCCAAGUGCUCAUCAGAACCAAAACUGUCUGCUGGAAUGUAAACAAAUGGUGAGACUUCUCUGUCCUGUAACUAAUAAUGCCAAAGGAUAACCUGCUAUGAUUUUGGAUAUUUCCCCCUUGUAACUAGCUUCCAGUAUGGUAACAGGAGUGUGCAGAUUGGGACGUCCUCAACAUACAGGAAUAAUUUGGUCAUGACAGUGGAGAAUGUUUGGCCAUCUCAGUACAAAACAAACGUAGGGAUCUUGCAAAUAGGUUCAAGUGAUGCAAGUUUUGCAUCCAGAAAGUCUUUCUACACAAGCUUCAUUGAAGAACUAAUGAAGAUUGAGUUACACUUCUACUUGUCCAUAUGGCUAAGAGCCCUUGUGGACAAGAAAUGCCUUCCUGAACCAGGUUGUUGCUUUCCUGCUGGGGUGGUUGAAUCCCCCCAUCCCACAACAACCUGUUGAGGAAGUUCCUUCAGGACAGCAUGAGGGUGGGCAGAUAGCAUGAAAGAUGUGACUCAGGGCACCUCCAACAGUGGCUUGGACAGGGAGGGGACUGUGGCAAAAGCUAGGUCAGACACUUCUAAUAGCUGGUACAAGACAGCCAGGUCCAAUUACAAAACAGUAAUUCAGUAUGAAGGCAUUCCUGUACAUCACAUGAUCAUUCUGAAAGGCUUCACAUUUUAUACUUCCAAUUGUAAAACAGAGUGCUUUUAAUCCCAGUCUUUCUUCCCACAUAUUAAGUUGUCUAAGGAACAGAAAUCAAUUAAUGGUCAGUUAGCUUCUCUUGCAUUAAGAUCACUCCUGGCAUUUUGAGAUUAACAAAGGUUAUAUAACCAAUCUGCAUUUGCUUCUUCCUGCAAUAAAGUGCUACAUAUAACAUGUCAUUUUAAUGACCACAAGUAGGAGCAGUAAAUAAGUACAAAGUUGGGUUCCUAGCAGGACACACUCUAUCUGCCAUCAACAGAAAGGAAUAAAGUAUUACUGAUGACAUGGCGGGGAGCAAGAGGACUGUCAAAUUUGCAAGUACAAUUGAAAUACUGAGGGUAUAAAAGAGAACUUUAUGGUUCCAAAAGCAUCUUUUUAUAGCUUUAUAUUUCAAAGAAGUUACUGGUACCUUUUCAAAUAAACAGUCUUAUUAACUUCAGCCCACAAUUUUUUUUUCUUUGUUUUUUUUUUUUUUGUUUUUUUUUUUUUUUGCAAGUGAGAAACAAACUAGUGCAAGACUAAAGCACUGUGCAAAACUGCCUUUUUUUUUUUAGUCUGAGUAUUUAUACCCAGAAUUUAUCCAUACCCUUUUUAAAUCCCCUUGUUGGAUUUUUUUUUCCACCAUAGAAUUCUAGUUAUACAAGUUGUUCCUGCAAAGUAAAAGGUAACCACUGCAUAAUACAGUAUAUAUAUAUAAUAUUUAUAUGCCCUUUUAAAACAAAAGAUGUAUGCUGUAGCCCAGAGGCAGGUGUUUGUCACACCUGUGUAAGAGCUGAGAGUUGGGCCUGCUGUGUGGGUGUGUAGGCUGCACACACUGCAUGUGUGUGGACAUACACACUCUUUCCAUUGUCAGGCUCUCAUCCUGCAGUGCUGAAAGCAACUUUUUUCCUCACCAGUUCUACCCCAAAUCCUCAGACCUUGACAACUGAAUACAAGGCAUCAAACAAUUAAAGGAAGCUGCAAACAGCACUGAAAUAAUACACCAGUUCUCCCCCUGCCCCGCCCCAAACAUUGCUCCUGAACAGCUCCACGGUUCAGGGGGAGGCCGGGGGAAGGCAGGGAGCGAGUGUGUGCAAAGGGGAAAAGAAGGAUGAUUAAAGAAGCCAAUCCAAGGGAUGUGCAAAAGCAAUGUCAUGGCACACUACAGGCAGCCUCUCUUCCACGCACCCGCACGCACACAAAGCCCAAAAAUAAAAUGCAUCAAUAUGUCAUCUUACAAGUGCUGAUUGCCAAUAAGGACACUCCUUUUUUUUUUUUUUU